UUUGAUCCUGGCUCAGGACGAACGCUGGCGGCGUGCUUAACACAUGCAAGUCGAACGGAAAGGCCCUGCUUUUGUGGGGUGCUCGAGUGGCGAACGGGUGAGUAACACGUGAGUAACCUGCCCUUGACUUUGGGAUAACUUCAGGAAACUGGGGCUAAUACCGGAUAGGAGCUCCUGCUGCAUGGUGGGGGUUGGAAAGUUUCGGCGGUUGGGGAUGGACUCGCGGCUUAUCAGCUUGUUGGUGGGGUAGUGGCUUACCAAGGCUUUGACGGGUAGCCGGCCUGAGAGGGUGACCGGCCACAUUGGGACUGAGAUACGGCCCAGACUCCUACGGGAGGCAGCAGUGGGGAAUAUUGCACAAUGGGCGGAAGCCUGAUGCAGCAACGCCGCGUGCGGGAUGACGGCCUUCGGGUUGUAAACCGCUUUCGCCUGUGACGAAGCGUGAGUGACGGUAAUGGGUAAAGAAGCACCGGCUAACUACGUGCCAGCAGCCGCGGUGAUACGUAGGGUGCGAGCGUUGUCCGGAUUUAUUGGGCGUAAAGGGCUCGUAGGUGGUUGAUCGCGUCGGAAGUGUAAUCUUGGGGCUUAACCCUGAGCGUGCUUUCGAUACGGGUUGACUUGAGGAAGGUAGGGGAGAAUGGAAUUCCUGGUGGAGCGGUGGAAUGCGCAGAUAUCAGGAGGAACACCAGUGGCGAAGGCGGUUCUCUGGGCCUUUCCUGACGCUGAGGAGCGAAAGCGUGGGGAGCGAACAGGCUUAGAUACCCUGGUAGUCCACGCUGUAAACGGUGGGUACUAGGUGUGGGGUCCAUUCCACGGGUUCCGUGCCGUAGCUAACGCUUUAAGUACCCCGCCUGGGGAGUACGGCCGCAAGGCUAAAACUCAAAGGAAUUGACGGGGCCCCGCACAAGCGGCGGAGCAUGCGGAUUAAUUCGAUGCAACGCGUAGAACCUUACCUGGGUUUGACAUGGAUCGGGAGUGCUCAGAGAUGGGUGUGCCUCUUUUGGGGUCGGUUCACAGGUGGUGCAUGGCUGUCGUCAGCUCGUGUCGUGAGAUGUUGGGUUAAGUCCCGCAACGAGCGCAACCCUUGUUCACUGUUGCCAGCACGUUAUGGUGGGGACUCAGUGGAGACCGCCGGGGUCAACUCGGAGGAAGGUGGGGAUGACGUCAAGUCAUCAUGCCCCUUAUGUCCAGGGCUUCACGCAUGCUACAAUGGCUGGUACAGAGAGUGGCGAGCCUGUGAGGGUGAGCGAAUCUCGGAAAGCCGGUCUCAGUUCGGAUUGGGGUCUGCAACUCGACCUCAUGAAGUCGGAGUCGCUAGUAAUCGCAGAUCAGCAACGCUGCGGUGAAUACGUUCCCGGGGCUUGUACACACCGCCCGUCAAGUCAUGAAAGUUGGUAACACCCGAAGCCGGUGGCCUAACCGUUGUGGGGGAGCCGUCGAAGGUGGGACUGGUGAUUAGGACUAAGUCGUAACAAGGUAGCCGUACCGGAAGGUGCGGCUGGAUCACCUUCNUU
Molecule: ribosomal RNA, 1514 nt
Filed under: Cutibacterium acnes
Lineage: Bacteria; Bacillati; Actinomycetota; Actinomycetes; Propionibacteriales; Propionibacteriaceae
Description: Propionibacterium acnes 16S ribosomal RNA
Rfam family: Bacterial small subunit ribosomal RNA
Source: RNAcentral